UGACCUUCCAAAAAAGUUCAUGAAUAAGUUGUAGAUCAGAAUAGUAGGGACAUAAUCAUGCGUGAGUUUCGCUCUAAAUUCCUCUGUCCCCUUAUCACAACUUAUUUAUAGGCUCAUGGUAUUGAUGUACAAGUAUCAUUUGUGAUCUCCCAAUUAAGUCGGAGAAUUAUCUCCAUCGUAUUGGAAUCAAUGGCAGGUUUAGAAGAUAAAGAGUUGCAAUCAACUUUGUGAUGUAGGCGAGAUCGUCUAUUAUGGCUUCACCGCAGCGAAGAAAACUGGAUUACUGUGAUGAUAUUUUGGGACAACACAUUACAAUUGUUUGGGGGUGACGAUUAUUGAAAGAUGCAACUGUAAAGAGAAUUGAAGAUUAUAUAGAUUGCAACUCGUGCUAAAAUUUUGGUGUGGUAUUUAACAGUUGCGUUCUGUUGGCAUUUUUAUGUUGUAUAUUGGCAAUGUAAGAUUUUAUGAUUCAUGUUGAAGCCUUAAUGGAAGAACCCAAAAGGAAUUCUGUUUUCUUAAGCUAUUUUUUUCAGUGGAGUUUCGUGAUAUAUCCAAGAAUUCUUUCCUUUAACAGAAGUUUAACGAAAUUCAAUCGA
Long non-coding RNA from Solanum dulcamara, 596 nucleotides. RefSeq lists it as uncharacterized. Lineage: Eukaryota; Viridiplantae; Streptophyta; Magnoliopsida; Solanales; Solanaceae. The record is from RefSeq and is a predicted model, not a curated record. The transcript is spliced from 3 exons.